UUACGCUGUUAUCCCUAAGGUAAUUUAGUCUUAUAAUCAACAAAAGGUGGGUCAAAUAUAUAUAAAUAAAUAUAAAAAAAAAUAAAAAGAGUUAAUUAAAUCUUUCCAUCACCCCAACAAAAUAAAUUUUCAAAUUAAAAAAAUAUCAUACAAAAAAAUAAAAAUAUAUAUAAACUCUAUAGGGUCUUCUCGUCCCAAAAAAAUAUUUAGGCAUUUUAACCUAAAAUUUAAAUUCAAUAAAUAAAUUAAAGACAGUUUACACCUCGUCAAACCAUUCAUUCCAGCCUACAAUUAAAAGACUAAUGAUUAUGCUACCUUUGCACGGUCAAAAUACCGCGGCCCUUCAAUAUUCAGUGGGCAGGCCAUACAUCAAAAUAUAUUCAAGAAGAGAUGUUUUUGAUAAACAGGCG
Molecule: ribosomal RNA, 410 nt
Filed under: Cryptocercus kyebangi
Lineage: Eukaryota; Metazoa; Arthropoda; Insecta; Blattodea; Cryptocercidae
Description: partial mitochondrial 16S rRNA gene
Source: RNAcentral